GAUGAACGCUGGCGGCGUGCUUAACACAUGCAAGUCGAACGGAAAGGCCUUUCUGGCAGGGUACUCGAGUGGCGAACUGGUGAGUAACACGUGGGUGAUCUGCCCUGUAUUUGUGGAUAAGUCUGUGAAACUGGGUCUAAUACCGAAUAUGACAAGUGUGGUGAUGCGAUUGUGGAAAGCUUUUGCGGUAUGGGAUUCGCUCGCGGCCUAUCAUCUUGUUGGUGGGGUAAUGGCCUACCAAGGCGUCGACGGGUAGCCGGCCUGAGAGGGUGUACGGCCACAUUGGGACUGAGAUACGGCACAGACUCCUCAGAGAGGCAGCAGUGGGGAAUAUUGCACAAUGGGCGCAAGCCUGAUACAGCGACGAACCGUGGGGGAUGACGGCCUUCGGGUUGUAAACUAAAAAAGCAACCGACGAAGCCUUUUGGUGACGGUAGGUUGAGAAGAAGCACCGGCUAACUACGUG
This 466-nucleotide ribosomal RNA is filed under the name uncultured bacterium. RNAcentral describes it as "partial 16S ribosomal RNA". It matches the Rfam family "Bacterial small subunit ribosomal RNA", at positions 28 to 507 of the family's 1533-position model. The record is from RNAcentral.